Long non-coding RNA from Medicago truncatula (barrel medic), 528 nucleotides. RefSeq lists it as uncharacterized. Lineage: Eukaryota; Viridiplantae; Streptophyta; Magnoliopsida; Fabales; Fabaceae. The record is from RefSeq and is a predicted model, not a curated record. The transcript is spliced from 3 exons.
GGGGCGCGUGCGAUGUAUGGGAAAGUUACCUAAAUCUAAAAAAUCAAAGGUUGAUUUGUCUGAAAAUAAAGAGCUGCGUGAUAGAGUUAAGACUAUGGAGGGCUUGUUAGCAAAUGUCAUGACUUUGAUUCAAAGUCGAUUUUCUGGAGAAGAUGUGAAUGAGAUAAUGCAAGCUGCUAGACAGGUUAUUGAUGCUUCUAGUGUUCCUAACCCUUUGAAUUCCCCUAGUCCAAGCAAUAAUGAAGAUUAAUGAAAAUGGUGAAGAUGAGGAGGCUAAUAUGGAGACUUGAAGAUGGAAAUUUGAAAUUGAAAACUAGGCUAGACAUUGUUUUGGUUCUUUUCUCUAUUGACAUAGUUAUAUAUAAGGCUUUGUAUCCCGAAUAUGGAUUUGUCUUGUUUUGGUUAAUGCUCUAAAAUACAAUAGGAUUGACAUGAUUUAACUUUUGUUAAUUUCUAUGUUUGAAAGAAUUGGUUUUAAUCUUCAAUAUAUAUGGUAUGGAAUCUGUUUUUGAUUUCAAAAUAUAUCCA